This 501-nucleotide ribosomal RNA is filed under the name Triticum aestivum (bread wheat). RNAcentral describes it as "partial small subunit ribosomal RNA". Lineage: Eukaryota; Viridiplantae; Streptophyta; Magnoliopsida; Poales; Poaceae. The record is from RNAcentral.
AUGUGCGAGCUCUUGAGGAUUUCACCUCCAAGAGUAGACUCUCAGAAGACUUGUCUUCCUUCUAGGAUUCCUCUAAAGCUGAAACUAGUUUGCAUGCCACUUCACACCAAGGAGCUACAAACAGGCAAACUGUUGGGGACUGGGACCGUGCAUGAUGGACUCUACUAUCUUGAUGAAGGGAGUGAUGAAGUUGCUUUUGCAUCAUGCUUGUCUCCCAGUCAAGAGCUACUACUACACCAUCGCAGGCUUGGGCAUCUCUCUUUUGCUGCAUUGUUUCGUAUUUACCCCUCUCUUUUCAAGUUGUGUCCUAGGGAGCUGCUUGUAUGUGAUGCUUGUGAAUUGGCUAAACAUACAAGAGGUUCAUAUCCUAGUAUAGGAUUAAGAAGUGCCAAACCAUUUGAAAUGAUUCACUCGGAUGUCUGGGGACCCUGUGAGGUUCGUUCGAUUUCUGGGCAUCGAUGGUUUGUAACUUUUAUCGAUUGCUUUAGUCGUUACACUUGG